Molecule: unclassified non-coding RNA, 425 nt
Filed under: fungal sp.
Lineage: Eukaryota; Fungi
Description: partial internal transcribed spacer region
Rfam family: Eukaryotic small subunit ribosomal RNA (bases 1-46)
Source: RNAcentral
AAGUCGUAACAAGGUUUCCGUAGGUGAACCUGCGGAAGGAUCAUUAACACGUAUCCAAACGUUAAAACCCCCCCCGUGAACUUUCAAUCCUGCUCUUGUAACCCGCGUAGUUCCGCAAUCUCUGGUAAAUCAUAGCCCGGAAAGUUGUUUUGAUUCAGAGACCUCUGGCUACGUGAGAACAAUGGAACAGUUACAAUCGAGCGGUAGUUUCAUAGGCAUUGUUUCCCCAAGCAGUCAGUGUCGGAAAGUGUCACUGAUUGUGCAAGGAUAGCGCUUCACGAUUCCUGUAGACCGUACACUCGGGCAGGAGCUAUGCCAAAGGGUCCCCAUGCCCCCUACACGUGCCGAUUUCUAUUAAAAGCUCCAUUUUCAAUUAUGGAUGGGGUAAAACCGAACAACUGUUAACAAUGGAUAUCUUGGUUCUC